RNAcentral lists this ribosomal RNA (391 nucleotides) under uncultured delta proteobacterium. Its description in RNAcentral is "bacterial SSU rRNA". It matches the Rfam family "Bacterial small subunit ribosomal RNA", at positions 370 to 779 of the family's 1533-position model. Lineage: Bacteria; Deltaproteobacteria. The record is from RNAcentral.
AAUGGGCGAAAGCCUGACGCAGCCACGCCGCGUGAGCGAUGGAGGUCUUCGGAUCGUAAAGCUCUGUGGGGAGAGAAGAACUGACGGUAUCUCCUUAGCAAGCACCGGCUAACUCCGUGCCAGCAGCCGCGGUAAUACGGGGGGUGCAAACGUUGCUCGGAAUCAUUGGGCGUAAAGCGCGCGUAGGCGGCUUGAUAAGUUGGGUGUGAAAGCCCAGGGCUCAACCCUGGAAGUGCACUCAAAACUGUUAGGCUUGAGUCCCGGAGGGGCCCAGAGAAUUCCUGGUGUAGAGGUGAAAUUCGUAGAUAUCAGGAGGAAUACCAGUGGCGAAGGCGCUGGGCUGGACGGGUACUGACGCUGAGGUGCGAAAGCGUGGGGAGCAAACAGGAUU